UACGAGGGGGGCAAGCGUUGUUCGGAUUUAUUGGGCGUAAAGGGUGCGUAGGCGGUCGGGUAAGUCUGAUGUGAAAUCUCACAGCUUAACUGUGAAACUGCAUUGGAUACUAUUCGGCUUGAGAGUUGGAGGGGGGACUGGAAUUCUUGGUGUAGCAGUGAAAUGCGUAGAUAUCAAGAGGAACACCAGUGGCGAAGGCGAGUCCCUGGACAACUUCUGACGCUGAGGAACGAAAGCUAGGGGAGCAAACGGG
This 253-nucleotide ribosomal RNA is filed under the name uncultured bacterium. RNAcentral describes it as "partial 16S ribosomal RNA". It matches the Rfam family "Bacterial small subunit ribosomal RNA", at positions 524 to 776 of the family's 1533-position model. The record is from RNAcentral.